AGUUCCACUUCCUAUCUCCUGCUGGACGGACGUAGAGCGUCCACGCCCGCCCAGCACUGCCGGCUGCCAGGACUACAAGCGGCACGCCAACGUCUAAGUCCCGCCCGGGAGGGCAGCAGCUCUGCCCUCCAGACUCUGGAGGCCUGGGCGCGGCGCACACCACCCCCAACCUAGCACCCUGAUUCCUACCUACUCACUUUCCUCUCGGGGAAACGUGACUUGUCAGUGUCAUUUGGGAACUGUCACCUGCAGAAAAGCUAGGGAUACGCCUAUCCUUUCAGGAACACGAAAGAAGUAAUAGGGUUAAAGGAAAAGACCAGAGCUAGUUUGGCGCACCCUCGAAGUUUUUCAAACUUUGCAUCUUCCCGUGCCCCGGGCGCCGCAGCGCGCCUAGGUUUUCGCAGCUGGUUUCUGUCGGUGGGUUGUUAAUAGGCUGGGACGCCAGAUCUGAGGUUGCGGGGAUGAGCACCAUGGCCUGGAAAAGGCGGUUCUCAGUGCAGAAAGAAGACGGACCUGGUUGGGUGGGUGGGAGGAAGGCGUGAGUCUGAAAGGGUUGCAGAUGCCUGCUCCCUGGCAUCCUCACGUGCGAUGCCAGGUGGAGGCUCCCUUCCCCCUCUUUCCCGGUCCCGCUCAAUUUCCUAGCCACUUGUCCACCAAGAAGAACUUUUCCUGGGUCAAGAAUAUUUCCAAGCGAUUGUGUCCCGGUCAUAUGAGAUGUGUAGAUUGCACGCGCAUUUCUAGCCUUUCCCCUCAGGAGCUAGCCCAGAUCUCCUCGGUUUCCUCCAGAAAUCCACUCUCUUCUGCUCAAAAAUAAAUCCGCUAAUGCAUUCCUUACCACCAGGGUUCCAUUUACUGAGAAUUCUUACAUUUCGAUAGCUCCCAAAAUUCACUCACCGUGGGCACUUGGUUACAAUUUUGCACCCCUGAAAAUAAAAUAGAAAACUCGCCUCUAGUAAGCAUGCGAGAGCGAGGGCAGGGCUUUGAAGCUGCUACUUGCUUGGCGGGCGACAGGGUCCGCUGGGGGCAGAGUCGUUUACACACAAGUGAGUGGCGCUGUAAUGAGCAGGAGGAACAGUCAUGUCCCAUCUGCGACCUGUCGCAUCAGGAGAAUAUCUGUAGUCACCUAUUCUGCCCGGGGCCCCAAAUGCGCCACCAGCAGUGUCGCCCCGUUUUUUCAUUGUCUCAGGUGUCCAGAGGAUGAUGACCAGGUCUUUGAAGUUGUUAGUGGGAUUAAUGGGUACAGCAAACUGGGCUAGACAUCUGGUUUGAAUUAGGAAAAAGCAUUGAUUAAUCUUUGAGAGGUGUCCCCAAAGCAGAACCUUUCCCCUCCUCUUCCAGUCCCCUUGCUUAAGCCUCACUAUCUUCUUUUCUUUUAAGUCACACUGCAGAAUAGUGGCUUCGCAAUAACAUCCGUGUGAAAGAUCGAAUUGUUUUCUAUUGCUCAGAGGUGGGGUGGAGUGGGGGUUGAUCAGGAAUUCUGAGAUUUGUAAGCGCUGCUUUCUUUAACGGAAAUUGAGCUCUAUUUUGAGGGAAAUUAGUUUUGCAGACUUCGUUUAAAAAAAAAAAAAAACUAAAUCUUUUGUUCACCAGCUGCUCAGCUUUUCAGUCUGGGUCUGAGCUGAAACCUGCUGCAAGUCUGACGGUACCAAAUUACAUAUAUAUCUGUCAAAAUGAUGUAGGACCUAAAGUCUCUCUGUAAGUUGAUCCUUUUGACCCCAUGAUUAGGAGCUUCACAAUGUGGUACCACACCUGGAAACCUCCAGAACAAGAUCUCAAGGAAACACAGGAAAUUCCUGAAACAGCAAAACCCCCUAUGUGAAGACGUCUGUUAUUCCUUUGUGUAUCAGGAGCAUCACUGUUAAUUAACUGUUGAUACACUUAAAACAGCUUGGUUGGCAAUGUCCUUUUUGAAUAAAGAAGAGCCAGGUGUGUUUUUCAGGAUGAACUAGACAAUGCUGUCACAAGUUUACCUCUACAUCUUAUUGCCUUGGAAAAAUUUCCUGCAUAUCGUGGCACAAGAUGGUUGGCUCUCCAGGCAGCAGUUGGCGUUGUGAAUCAGUCAUCUCAGCAUGUGUCUCCAAGAUCCCACAGCAGGGGGAAAAAGAGGUGGAGGGUCACAUGCCUGGUGUUACAUACUUUGAGGCAGAGGUGGUAGGUGCCAUUUCUGCUCACAGCUCAUGGACCAGAACAAAGCCAUGCAUACCUGAGAGAGGACCAGAAAAUAUUCUGAAGCAGAUGGCUAUUUGGUCCGUGUUCUGACUAAAAGGAAGCCACACUCUGUCGAAAACAAGCUUUGUAAGAAAAUUUUGAAGUAUUUACUUAUAUCUAACCAUUCAUUCCACCUUUUCUCCCAAAUAACACUCUAAUAUCUUGAGACAUCUUGUCUAGGGCCAGAUUUCAUAAAUGCUUGUGAGGCAGGAGAAUAAGUUCCAGAGGCAGUUCACACUGCCUAAAGCCAAUUCACACUGACUUCCUAUAACUAAAUCUAAAGGAAAAUCUCAACUUUCCUCGCCCAAGUAACAAAAGAAUCAGAGGUUAUACUCCCUUUGCAACCUGCCCCUUUUCUGCCUGGCAGAUGAAAAAUGAAAAGUACCUAUGACUGGUCCCCUCCCACGACCAGCCAGACUGGUCACGGAUCACUACUUCAUUUACAUAGGGCGUAAACCGAGUAACCAAUGGGAAACCUCUAGAGGGUAUUUAAACCCCAGAAAAUUCUGUAACCGGUGGUCUCCAGCAGGUUGCUCAAUCUUGCUGCCACUCUGUGGGAUGUACUUUUGUUUCAAUAAAUCUGUGCUCUUCC
This 2800-nucleotide long non-coding RNA is filed under the name Homo sapiens (human). RNAcentral describes it as "HSALNT0339329". The record is from RNAcentral. Lineage: Eukaryota; Metazoa; Chordata; Mammalia; Primates; Hominidae.